RNAcentral lists this ribosomal RNA (1379 nucleotides) under uncultured bacterium. Its description in RNAcentral is "bacterial SSU rRNA". It matches the Rfam family "Bacterial small subunit ribosomal RNA". The record is from RNAcentral.
GAGUUUGAUCAUGGCUCAGGCCGUAAGCUGGCGGCGUGCUUAACACAUGCAAGUCGAACGGCAUGGCCCCUUUUUUGGGGUGUACGAGUGGCGAACGGGUGAGUAACACGUGAGUAACCUGCCCCAGACUUUGGGAUAACAGUUGGAAACGAUUGCUAAUACUGGAUAUGAGCUGCUGCCGCAUGGUGGUGGUUUGAAAGUUCCGGCGGUUUGGGAUGGGCUCGCGGCCUAUCAGCUUGUUGGUGAGGUGAUGGCUUACCAAGGCUUCGACGGGUAGCCGGCCUGAGAGGGCGACCGGCCACAUUGGGACUGAGAUACGGCCCAAACUCCUACGGGAGGCAGCAGUGGGGAAUAUUGCUUUUUUUACGGAAGUCUGAUGCAGCAACGCCGCGUGCGGGAUGACGGCCUUCGGGUUGUAAACCGCUUUCAUCCAUGACGAAGCUUUUGUGACGGUAGUGGGUAAAGAAGCACCGGCUAACUACGUGCCAGCAGCCGCGGUGAUACGUAGGGUGCGAGCGUUGUCCGGAUUUAUUGGGCGUAAAGAGCUUGUAGGCGGUUUGUCGCGUCGGGAGUGAAAACUCGGAGCUUAACUUUGAGCUUGCUUUCGAUACGGGCUGACUUGAGGGAGGUAGGGGAGAAUGGAAUUCCUGGUGGAGCGGUGGAAUGCGCAGAUAUCACGAGGAACACCGGUGGCCAAGGGCGGUUCUCUGGGACCUUUCCUGACGCUGAGAAGCGAAAGCGUGGGGAGCGAACAGGCUUAGAUACCCUGGUAGUCCACGCCGUAAACGGUGGGUACUAGGUGUGGGGGACAUUCCACGUUCUCCGUGCCGUAGCUAACGCAUUAAGUACCCCGCCUGGGGAGUACGGCCGCAAGGCUAAAACUCAAAGGAAUUGACGGGGCCCCGCACAAGCGGCGGAGCAUGCGGAUUAAUUCGAUGCAACGCGAAGAACCUUACCUGGGUUUGACAUAUGCCGGGAGCGUUCAGAGAUGGGCGUGCCUUUUUGGUCGGUUUACAGGUGGUGCAUGGCUGUCGUCAGCUCGUGUCGUGAGAUGUUGGGUUAAGUCCCGCAACGAGCGCAACCCUCGUCCAAUGUUGCCAGCGGGUUAUGCCGGGGACUCAUUGGAGACCGCCGGGGUCAACUCGGAGGAAGGUGGGGAUGACGUCAAGUCAUCAUGCCCCUUAUGUCCAGGGCUUCACGCAUGCUACAAUGGCCGGUACAAAGAGCUGCGAGCCUGUGAGGGUGAGCGAAUCUCGGAAAGCCGGUCUCAGUUCGGAUUGGGGUCUGCAACUCGACCCCAUGAAGUCGGAGUCGCUAGUAAUCGCAGAUCAGCAACGCUGCGGUGAAUACGUUCCCGGGGCUUGUACACACCGCCCGUC